Marmota monax (woodchuck) is the source of this 570-nucleotide long non-coding RNA. RefSeq lists it as uncharacterized. The transcript has 3 exons. The record is from RefSeq and is a predicted model, not a curated record. Lineage: Eukaryota; Metazoa; Chordata; Mammalia; Rodentia; Sciuridae.
GGAGUAACUGGAGAAUUGGUUUAUGCUUCCAUCCCCACCUAGACUGUCCAGGCUUAAGGAUGGCAUCUUUAGUAAUAUUGAGAACAGCAAUAAUAUGAUAAAGUCCAUCAGGCCCAUCUUCACCCCUUACUCCCAGGUGAUCCCGUAUCACAAAUCCUGAGCCUUUUGAUGUCUCUGUGGUGCCAUCCAGAUCACUUCUAGUCCUUCCCAAGAGCCUCACUGAUCUUCUCAAUCAGAUCAUUGACACCAUGCCAGAAAAUCACCUGCCCAGUCAUUGUCUGUGCUGCUGCCAUUCUUACUAGGGUGUGGCAGAUGGUGUUCAACUCUCCUGCUCUUCAAUUGUCAGAAUUAGGUGUCAUGGUUAUAUCCUGUCCGUUCCUCCCAAUAAACCAGAGAUGGGAUUCAAUGAUGAAGUACCAAAAUGAGAACCAGCAGUCCUGAAGUACAAUUCAACCCCAUUGUAAUAGUCUUAAUAAUUGAUAAAUUCCCACAGAUCUGACUUAUCAAAUCUUCUUUGUUAAAAAUACAUAAAGUCUUCUUUGUCUAUGCAACAUUCUACACAGUGGUGAA